GAUGAACGCUGGCGGCGUGCCUAAUACAUGCAAGUCGAGCGAACAGACGAGGAGCUUGCUCCUCUGACGUUAGCGGCGGACGGGUGAGUAACACGUGGAUAACCUACCUAUAAGACUGGGAUAACUUCGGGAAACCGGAGCUAAUACCGGAUGACAUGUUGAACCGCAUGGUUUAACAGUGAAAGACGGUCUUGCUGUCACUUAUAGAUGGAUCCGCGCCGCAUUAGCUAGUUGGUAAGGUAACGGCUUACCAAGGCAACGAUGCGUAGCCGACCUGAGAGGGUGAUCGGCCACACUGGAACUGAGACACGGUCCAGACUCCUACGGGAGGCAGCAGUAGGGAAUCUUCCGCAAUGGGCGAAAGCCUGACGGAGCAACGCCGCGUGAGUGAAGAAGGUCUUCGGAUCGUAAAACUCUGUUAUUAGGGAAGAACAAAUGUGUAAGUAACUAUGCACGUCUUGACGGUACCUAAUCAGAAAGCCACGGCUAACUACGUG
This 497-nucleotide ribosomal RNA is filed under the name uncultured bacterium. RNAcentral describes it as "partial 16S ribosomal RNA". It matches the Rfam family "Bacterial small subunit ribosomal RNA", at positions 28 to 507 of the family's 1533-position model. The record is from RNAcentral.